Non-coding RNA from Bombyx mori (domestic silkworm), 84 nucleotides. NCBI's taxonomy places the organism in Eukaryota, Metazoa, Arthropoda, Insecta, Lepidoptera, Bombycidae. The record is from Rfam.
UUAACUCAAAUUUGUAUGGAGUUGGAACGUUUGCCUACGUUUGCCGCUAGGGGCGCUGUUCCAACUGCAUACAAAUCAGAGUUA